Molecule: transfer RNA, 97 nt
Filed under: Rhodococcus sp. T7
Lineage: Bacteria; Bacillati; Actinomycetota; Actinomycetes; Mycobacteriales; Nocardiaceae
Description: tRNA-Trp
Source: RNAcentral
GAUGCCGCUGACCGAGUGGCUGGACGAUUCAGUUCUCCAGCAACUGGCCGAAGAGAACAAUCUGUCCGAGACGGCGUUCUACACCGCGCGCCUUCCC